GGCGGUUUUUUAAGUUCUGAAGGUUGAAAGCCCCCGGCUCAACUCGGGGAGGGUCAUUGGAAACUUGGGGAACUUGAGUGCAGAAGAGGAGAGUGGAAUUCCACGUGUAGCGGUGAAAUGCGUAGAGAUGUGGAGGAACACCAGUGGCGAAGGCGACUCUCUGGUCUGUAACUGACGCUGAGGAGCGAAAGCGUGGGGAGCGAACAGGAUUAGAUACCCUGGUAGUCCACGCCGUAAACGAUGAGUGCUAAGUGUUAGGGGGUUUCCGCCCCUUAGUGCUGCAGCUAACGCAUUAAGCACUCCGCCUGGGGAGUACGGUCGCAAGACUGAAACUCAAAGGAAUUGACGGGGGCCCGCACAAGCGGUGGAGCAUGUGGUUUAAUUCGAAGCAACGCGAAGAACCUUACCAGGUCUUGACAUCCUCUGACAAUCCUAGAGAUAGGACGUCCCCUUCGGGGGCAGAGUGACAGGUGGUGCAUGGUUGUCGUCAGCUCGUGUCGUGAGAUGUUGGGUUAAGUCCCGCAACGAGCGCAACCCUUGAUCUUAGUUGCCAGCAUUCAGUUGGGCACUCUAAGGUGACUGCCGGUGACAAACCGGAGGAAGGUGGGGAUGACGUCAAAUCAUCAUGCCCCUUAUGACCUGGGCUACACACGUGCUACAAUGGACAGAA
Molecule: ribosomal RNA, 670 nt
Filed under: Bacillus subtilis
Lineage: Bacteria; Bacillati; Bacillota; Bacilli; Caryophanales; Bacillaceae
Description: bacterial SSU rRNA
Rfam family: Bacterial small subunit ribosomal RNA
Source: RNAcentral